This is a non-coding RNA of Ahaetulla prasina, 477 nucleotides long. The record is from the annotation of a RefSeq genome assembly. Lineage: Eukaryota; Metazoa; Chordata; Lepidosauria; Squamata; Colubridae.
UUUACUUUUAAGGCCAACACAAAUUUUGUGACCUUUCCCAAAUCUUCUCCUAUCAGUUCCCUCCAUUCAUUAGAGGGCACAAAAAUGUUACUUUGGUUGAACGUGGUGCUCUUACUCGCAUCCCUUGAUGGUGUCAAUUCUCAAGUCCAGUUGGUGGAGUCUGGAGGGGACUUGAAAAAACCUGGAGAGUCCAUUCGUAUCUCCUGUCAUGGCUCUGGCUUCAUCAUGAGGAACUACUGGAUGAAUUGGGUGAGACAGUAUCCGGGGAAAGGACUGGAAUGGCUUGCAAGAAUGGGUACAACUGCAAUUUACUACUCAGACAAAGUCAAGGGACGCUUCACCAUCUCCAGGGACGAUUCCCUCAGUCAGCUGUAUCUGCAAAUGAACAAUCUGAAAGCAGAGGACACAGCUGUCUAUUACUGUGCGAGAGGCACAGUGGGAGGAAGUGAAUCUGAAGCCCAUCAAGAACUUUCAUGA